RNAcentral lists this ribosomal RNA (802 nucleotides) under uncultured Bacillota bacterium. Its description in RNAcentral is "bacterial SSU rRNA". It matches the Rfam family "Bacterial small subunit ribosomal RNA", at positions 70 to 848 of the family's 1533-position model. The record is from RNAcentral. Lineage: Bacteria; Bacillati; Bacillota.
CGGAAGGGGGCAACUCCUUCCAGUCGAGUGGCGGACGGGUGAGUAACACGUGGGUAACCUGCCCGGAAGUGUGGAAUACCUCGGGGAAACUCGAGCUAAUACCGCAUGACAUCUUCGGGACGACAGUCCUGACGAUCAGAGCGGGGUCGCAAGAUCUCGCGCUACCGGAUGGGCCCGCGCCCGAUUAGCUAGUUGGUGAGGUAACGGCUCACCAAGGCUUCGAUCGGUAACCGGCCUGAGAGGGCGAUCGGUCACACCGGAACUGAGACACGGUCCGGACUCCUACGGGAGGCAGCAGUGGGGAAUCUUGCGCAAUGGGCGAAAGCCUGACGCAGCAACGCCGCGUGGAGGAUGAAGGCCCUUGGGUUGUAAACUCCUGUCGGCUGGGAAGAAAUCGUGCGGUGCUCAUACCACCGUGCGUUGACUGUACCAGCAAAGGAAGCCCCGGCUAACUCUGUGCCAGCAGCCGCGGUAAUACAGAGGGGGCUAGCGUUAUUCGGAAUUAUUGGGCGUAAAGGGCGCGUAGGCGGCCAUGCGUGUCUUCCGUGAAAUCCCUCGGCUUAACUGAGGACGUGCGGAAGAAACUGCAAGGCUCGAGUCCGGGAGAGGGGGGGUGGAAUUCCCAGUGUAGCGGUGAAAUGCGUAGAUAUUGGGAGGAACACCGGUGGCGAAGGCGGCCCCCUGGACCGGUACUGACGCUGAGGCGCGAAAGCGUGGGUAGCAAACGGGAUUAGAUACCCCGGUAGUCCACGCCGUAAACGAUGGGCACUUGGUGUCGCGGGUAUCGACCCCUGCGGUGCCG